Molecule: unclassified non-coding RNA, 1674 nt
Filed under: Stegodyphus dumicola
Lineage: Eukaryota; Metazoa; Arthropoda; Arachnida; Araneae; Eresidae
Description: vitamin D 25-hydroxylase-like, transcript variant X1
Source: RNAcentral
CUUCCUCUGCCCAAGUUCUUUUCUUGUUCAGUAUAAUGGAAUACCUAAAGGAUUUCGACGUCACUCCUAUCCUUAUAGGAAUUCUGUUGUCUGUUAUCACACUACAUUUGUGGUAUGGCAGACGUAGGUACAGACUUCCACCUGGCCCUAUCGGUGUCCCUCUUCUUGGGUAUUUACCAUUCCUUGAAAGAGAAUCUUUCCUUACGUUUAAGAAAUUAAGUGAAAAAUAUGGAAACAUAUUCAGUUUGUAUCUCGGAAGAUCUCUGGUUGUUGUGCUUAAUGACUAUAAACUUAUUAAAGAGGCUUUCAGUCAGCAAGCACUUUUAGGUCGGCCACCACAUAUAUUUGACUUCCAUCCUGAUGGCUUAGGUUUUGCUGGAACUAACGGAGAAGAAUGGGUAGACCAAAGAAGAUUCACUAUGAAGGCUAUGAGGGAUGUCGGAUUUGGAAGGAGCCAGUGGGAAAAUUUGUUAAUGGUGGAAGUGGAAGAAUUCAGAGAUUGGCUCAAGACCCACGGAGGAAAACCCGUAAAUAUUUACAGGUUCCUUUCUGCAAGUGUCUCUAAUAAUAUGACAUCUUUGGUCUUUGGUAAACGUCUUCCAGCUGGCGAUCCAAUCAGAAACAUAGUAGAUAAUGAUGUGGAAGCCGUUACUCGUGCGUUUUCACAGUCUGGCUUCAUCACUUAUUUUCCUAAACUGUUAUCCUUAAUUGCUAAGAUUAGCUUCACACGACUUGGCAAAGAGAGAAAAAUUAUGGUUCGUUUUAACAAUUACUUAAAAAGUGAAGUAGAAGCCCGUAAGAAGGUAUUGACGACUGAAAGCAGCGAAGAAAUGUUUCUUGAUGGUUAUUUGAAGGAAAUCGAAAGAAAUAAACAGAAGAAUAUCCAAAGCUCGUUUACUGAAAAUCGCCUACUAGGCAAUUCUCAGGCUAUUGUUAUUGGAGGUAGUGAAACCACAAGAACCGCUAUUUCAUGGUUAUUGUUGGCCAUGGUCACAUAUCCAGAAGUUCAGAAGAAAGUACAAGAGGAAAUAGACACUGUCUUAGGGAAAGAUGGAAAAAUUACGUGGAUGGAACGUGCAAAAUUGCCUUACGUCUGUGCAACUAUGAUGGAAGCUCAAAGAUGGAGAACUGUGGUCCCUUUAAGUGUUAUACGUAGAGCUAAUGCGGACACUGCUAUAAAUUCGUAUGAUAUUCCAAAAGGAACUGACAUAAUUCCCAAUAUAUGGGCUGUUCAUAAUGAUCCCGAAUACUGGAAAGAACCUGAGAAGUUCAAUCCACAAAGAUUCCUCGUUGAAGAAAAUGGGAAAUUGACGGCAACUAAGCCUGAAGGUUAUAUUCCAUUUUCAAUUGGUUUUGAAAACCCCACCUCAGUCGCCAGAUUUAAACCCCAAAGAACACAUUUGGAAAGAGCUGCAGGUUAGAGUACGAAAACACGACAGCGAAAUGAAAAGCGAACCCAAAACAGCUAUGAUGAAGAAAGAAUGAACAAUGUCAAGAUUUUUUUGAAGUGUACGAAGACUUUUGUGAGAUAAAAUGAAGACGUAACUGCCCUGGAGAACUGGUUGCUCUGAUUGAAAUCUUACAAUAUUUUGUGGUUCUCAUGCAGAAUUUCACUCUACUUCCAGAAGUUGACGGCAAACUUCCAGAUUUAAGCGGAAAAUUAGGAGCCACCUA